AUUACAGUUAAUUGAGAAUCCAAAUAUGUAUUCAGUGAAGGGAAUAAAAGAAGAAAAAGACGAUUCCCUGUGAUCACGUGGAGUAAAUCUGUGAGUGGGCUUUCUCACAGCUGCUGUGUCAGUACGCCAGAACUGACAAGCUGAACAAAAACACAGAAUUACUAUAGUUGGGCUACAUAUCUUCAGAUCAGGUAAAAGAUCCUGUGCUAUAUGAAAGGCCUCUACUAACCAGAGAUUCUCUGGAUGAUAACAGCAACAUACUCAAAUCACAAUACAAGCGCAAAUUACCAGAGUGUAGCGAUUACAAUAUACAGUGGAUUCACACUACUGGUGUAAUUCCCUAUAACAUGCUCAUCAUCAUGAUGCUGAGCACCCUCUGCUGCUGGAAAGGAGUAAUGUGGUUGAAUCCAGGUCAAGUCUGCUGCUCUGUUGAAAGUUCUUUUUUGUCUGUCAGAAUUACUAUUUUGGUUAACGAAACAGCCAACAGUUGUACAAAUGGUUGACCCCUUCAGCUGAUAAGGCCAGUUGAUCACGUCUGCCAGUAAAGCUGACUGAUGCACUCAAAUAAUGCAGCCAUUUAUCUAGAAGAAAAAACAAUGCACCCGUCCCCCUUGUGUUAAAUUUGUCUUUCUUUGUGACACCCAUGAUCAUUCCCUACAUUUCUCCUUGAGCUUCAUGAGCAUGUUACCCUUCCUAUCUCCUCUGAGCCUUCUGCUAUUGCAGCAUUUCAUAGAUCAGCCACAACAAGACAGGGCCUGGAAAAUGCUGAUAGGGUUAGAAACAUACAGACUGCCUAUUGUAUCAAGUCAUUUUCUGCAAUAUGAAACCUACCUACACUGAAAACUAGUCAGUCACUUGCUAAAUAAAUUACUGUUUUGGAAAAAAAAAAAAAAAAAAAAAAAAAGGUGAGUUGAAUGUGAAGAACAAAGCUUGGACCUGAGGAGAUGACAGAAAUCACUGAGGGACACUGUGUCACGGAUCUUCAUCCAGAUAUUGCUUAGACAUUGAUUAGCAAGGUUCUACAGCACAGCGGGGACCACCAAGGAACCCAGAGAGUGACACAGCACAGGCUGUCUGUACUUCCACUGGCCAGGAAGAGAUGCAAGGCCCUUGAAAGUUGUGCUGAUAUGAAAGUUACCAACAAAGUACUGGGAAGUAGAAGAAUGAAGAUGUUAGCUGCAACUGCAGAAAAAAUAUGCCUUCCAAAACGAAUCUUUGUGGAAUCGGUGACUAAGGAACAGGCUGGAAGUCUGAUCAGAAAAAUUCUUUACUAACAGAAGGGAGACAAGAGGUAUAGGCAGCUCUCCUCUGAUUUUUAUAGUUAUGUUCCUAUGGUUCUGUUCAAUACAUUCAUACCACAUGUCACUGUACUAUGCAUGAGCUCAGAAACGACAAAACCAGGUGUGUCUAAUUCCACAAAGCACAUCAGACUUCCAUUAACAACAUUUUUGCAGGACUUCAAAAUCCAGUUUACCUGAACAGAUUACAGAGGAAUGAACAAAACACAUGAUUUUAUGUAAAAGUGUGUUUUUUUCCCCUUCAUCUCCCCUAUAUGUUUAGAAAAAUUGCUUUAUGUUAUUUGUCAAAUAAAAUAAAAUAGGAGGUAAAUCCUGCAAAUU
Gallus gallus (chicken) is the source of this 1619-nucleotide long non-coding RNA. Lineage: Eukaryota; Metazoa; Chordata; Aves; Galliformes; Phasianidae. The record is from Ensembl.